RNAcentral lists this ribosomal RNA (253 nucleotides) under uncultured bacterium. RNAcentral describes it as "partial 16S ribosomal RNA". It matches the Rfam family "Bacterial small subunit ribosomal RNA", at positions 524 to 776 of the family's 1533-position model. The record is from RNAcentral.
UACAUGGGGUGCAAACGUUGCUCGGAAUUAUUGGGCGUAAAGCGCACGUAGGCGGUCCCUUAAGUCGGAUGUGAAAUCCCUCGGCUCAACUGAGGACGUGCAUCCGAAACUGAGGGGCUGGAGUAUGGUAGAGGGUCGCGGAAUUCCCGGUGUAGAGGUGAAAUUCGUAGAUAUGCGGAGGAACACCGAUGGCGAAGGCAAUCCCCUGGGCCUGCACUGACGCUCAUGCACGAAAGCGUGGGGAGCAAACAGG